Molecule: ribosomal RNA, 468 nt
Filed under: uncultured bacterium
Lineage: Bacteria
Description: partial 16S ribosomal RNA
Rfam family: Bacterial small subunit ribosomal RNA
Source: RNAcentral
GACGAACGCUGGCGGCGUGCUUAACACAUGCAAGUCGAACGGAAAGGCCCUGCUUUUGUGGGGUGCUCGAGUGGCGAACGGGUGAGUAACACGUGAGUAACCUGCCCUUGACUUUGGGAUAACUUCAGGAAACUGGGGCUAAUACCGGAUAGGAGCUCCUGCUGCAUGGUGGGGGUUGGAAAGUUUCGGCGGUUGGGGAUGGACUCGCGGCUUAUCAGCUUGUUGGUGGGGUAGUGGCAUACCAAGGCUUUGACGGGUAGCCGGCCUGAGAGGGUGACCGGCCACAUUGGGACUGAGAUGCGGCACAGACUCCUACGGGAGGCAGCAGUGGGGAAUAGUGCACAAUGGGCGGAAGCCUGAUGCAGCAACGCCGCGUGCGGGAUAACGGCCUUCGGGUUGUAAACCGCUUUCGCCUGUGACGAAGCGUGAGUGACGGUAAUGGGUAAAGAAGCACCGGCUAACUACGUG